GAUGAACGCUGGCGGCGUGCCUAAUACAUGCAAGUCGAGCGAACGGACGAGAAGCUUGCUUUUCUGAUGUUAGCGGCGGACGGGUGAGUAACACGUGGAUAACCUACCUAUAAGACUGGGAUAACUUCGGGAAACCGGAGCUAAUACCGGAUAAUAUUUUGAACCGCAUGGUUCAAAAGUGAAAGACGGUCUUGCUGUCACUUAUAGAUGGAUCCGCGCUGCAUUAGCUAGUCGGUAAGGUAACGGCUUACCAAGGCAACGAUGCAUAGCCGACCUGAGAGGGUGAUCGGCCACACUGGAACUGAGACACGGUCCAGACUCCUACGGGAGGCAGCAGUAGGGAAUCUUCCGCAAUGGGCGAAAGCCUGACGGAGCAACGCUGCGUGAGUGAUGAAGGUCUUCGGAUCGUAAAACUCUGUUAUUAGGGAAGAACAUAUGUGUAAGUAACUGUGCACAUCUUGACGGUACCUAAUCAGAAAGCCACGGCUAACUACGUG
Molecule: ribosomal RNA, 497 nt
Filed under: uncultured bacterium
Lineage: Bacteria
Description: partial 16S ribosomal RNA
Rfam family: Bacterial small subunit ribosomal RNA
Source: RNAcentral